This is a non-coding RNA of Acanthosepion pharaonis, 87 nucleotides long. Lineage: Eukaryota; Metazoa; Mollusca; Cephalopoda; Sepiida; Sepiidae. The record is from the annotation of a GenBank genome assembly.
AUCUCAUUACGAUCACCGAAGUUAAGCAGCGUAGACCCAGGUCAGUACUUAGAUGGGGACCGCUUGGGAACACCUGGUACUGUAAGC